This 126-nucleotide non-coding RNA is filed under the name Aphanizomenon flos-aquae 2012/KM1/D3. RNAcentral describes it as "partial 16S ribosomal RNA". It matches the Rfam family "Bacterial small subunit ribosomal RNA", at positions 1 to 138 of the family's 1533-position model. The record is from RNAcentral. RNAcentral also lists the same sequence under 1 other name. Lineage: Bacteria; Bacillati; Cyanobacteriota; Cyanophyceae; Nostocales; Aphanizomenonaceae.
AAAAUGGAGAGUUUGAUCCUGGCUCAGGAUGAACGCUGGCGGUAUGCUUAACACAUGCAAGUCGAACGGUCUUUUCGGAGAUAGUGGCGGACGGGUGAGUAACGCGUAAGAAUCUACCUUCAGGUU